RNAcentral lists this ribosomal RNA (411 nucleotides) under uncultured prokaryote. RNAcentral describes it as "partial 16S ribosomal RNA". The record is from RNAcentral.
CCCUAUGGGGCGCAGCAGGCGGCAGGUUUCAACCAGGAUGUCUUCAUUCUCGUGCAGUCUCGCCAGAAGCCGUUCCGGAGCGUGUAUCUUCGUCACCGUAUGCGCGUCCGCCAGCACCUUUCCAUGUUGCCGCAUCUGGUCACGACUGAGCAGUUCCGCCCGGAGCGGCGGCUCGUCGCAUGUGUAUUUUUUUGUAUAUUUUUUUAUGAGGUGUGACCUCAGGGAAAGCAGGGACUUGUGAAUCGUAACUUUGUCAGCAUUCACGCUUGAGGUCUCCUUCCGACCUAACCCCUGUUCAUGGUGGGACACAGCACUGAAACCCUUAUCUUAUCUUACCUGGAAGGAUAGGUCCAGUUUAAUCGCUUCCCUUUUGUGUAUGCUGAGGAAGAAUGUUUCGUGCGUCUGGAGAGC